AAGUCGUAACAAGGUUUCCGUAGGUGAACCUGCGGAAGGAUCAUUAACACGUUAUCCACGUAUCACCACCGAGAACCGUUUAACCUACCUCUGGCAGAAUGAACAGCGUAGCAUGAAUAGAGUGAUUGGAAGGGUCAGCUUCACGGCGCCAGGCUUUAUUUGCUCUCUGCAGUUGCUUCGGCAGCUGCCGUCUGUUGUAUCUUACCCAGUUGGCCCCCCUCAGCGAGCAGCUCUCCUUCCAUGAGAUGAGCGCUGGGAACAUAUUCACAAAAUUAACCCAUUUUUGCUAGUUGACUUUUAUAUGUUGUUUAUUUUCUUGCUUCGGCAAUGGAGAUAUGCACACGUUUAAUUAUUUGAACGUUAAAAAUACAACUCUUAGCAAUGGAUAUCUAGGUUCUC
RNAcentral lists this unclassified non-coding RNA (399 nucleotides) under fungal sp. RNAcentral describes it as "partial internal transcribed spacer region". The stretch from base 1 to 46 matches the Rfam family "Eukaryotic small subunit ribosomal RNA", at positions 1786 to 1831 of the family's 1831-position model. The record is from RNAcentral. Lineage: Eukaryota; Fungi.